AUGGAGCCCCUGGAGGCGGCGAUAGCGAUCGUGUUCAACGCGCUGCUGCUGGUGUUCAUGGUGAAGCUCUUCUUCGCCAUGUUCCAGAUGAAGCUCGUCGUCAUCCUCUUCUACCUCGUCGUCGUCCUCUUCGCCCUCGCCUUCUCCGGCCGCGGCCCCGCCGGCUUCUAG
RNAcentral lists this ribosomal RNA (171 nucleotides) under Triticum aestivum (bread wheat). Its description in RNAcentral is "partial small subunit ribosomal RNA". The record is from RNAcentral. Lineage: Eukaryota; Viridiplantae; Streptophyta; Magnoliopsida; Poales; Poaceae.